UGAGGAAUAUUGGGUCAAUGGGCGAGAGUCUGAACCAGCCAAGUAGCGUGCAGGAUGACGGCCCUAUGGGUUGUAAACUGCUUUUAUGCGGGGAUAAAGCGGGCGACGUGUCGCCCCUUGCAGGUACCGCAUGAAUAAGGACCGGCUAAUUCCGUGCCAGCAGCCGCGGUAAUACGGAAGGUCCGGGCGUUAUCCGGAUUUAUUGGGUUUAAAGGGAGCGCAGGCCGGGUAUUAAGCGUGUUGUGAAAUGUAGGCGCCCAACGUCUGCACCGCAGCGCGAACUGGUGCCCUUGAGUACGCACGACGUUGGCGGAAUUCGCCGUGUAGCGGUGA
RNAcentral lists this ribosomal RNA (333 nucleotides) under uncultured Prevotella sp. RNAcentral's name for it is "bacterial SSU rRNA". It matches the Rfam family "Bacterial small subunit ribosomal RNA", at positions 355 to 684 of the family's 1533-position model. The record is from RNAcentral. Lineage: Bacteria; Pseudomonadati; Bacteroidota; Bacteroidia; Bacteroidales; Prevotellaceae.